GAUGAAGAACGCAGCGAAAUGCGAUAAGUAAUGUGAAUUGCAGAAUUCAGUGAAUCAUCGAAUCUUUGAACGCACAUUGCGCCCGUCAGUAUUCUGGCGGGCAUGCCUGUUCGAGCGUCAUUACGCCCCUCAAGUCCCCUGUGGACUUGGUGUUGGGGAUCGGCGAGGCUGGUUUUCCAGCACAGCCGUCCCUUAAAUUAAUUGGCGGUCUCGCCGUGGCCCUCCUCUGCGCAGUAGUAAAACACUCACAACAGGAGCCCGGCGCGGUCCACUGCCGUAAAACCCCCCAACUUUUUAUAGUUGACCUCGAAUCAGGUAGGACUACCCGCUGAACUUAAGCAUAUCAAUAAGCGGAGGA
RNAcentral lists this unclassified non-coding RNA (358 nucleotides) under soil metagenome. RNAcentral's name for it is "partial contains 5.8S ribosomal RNA, internal transcribed spacer 2, and large subunit ribosomal RNA". The stretch from base 1 to 120 matches the Rfam family "5.8S ribosomal RNA", at positions 35 to 154 of the family's 154-position model. The record is from RNAcentral.